Molecule: long non-coding RNA, 5479 nt
Filed under: Capsicum annuum
Lineage: Eukaryota; Viridiplantae; Streptophyta; Magnoliopsida; Solanales; Solanaceae
Description: long non-coding RNA (CANN_LNC004151)
Source: RNAcentral
GUGACCUGGAGACACUAUCCUCUUCACUCAAAAUAUCGGCACACACAUACACCCAAUCGCACACACACGCGCAAUCCUCUCCCUUCACAGCUUACUCAAAAUCGCACACUAAUCCGUACAUACCUAAAAAAAAAAUAGAGCCGAUUGAGAGAGAGGGUGACGAAUAGAGAGAGAUAUAGUUAUUUUGGUUUUGGAUUAUUGUUUUGGCGACACAGUCGUCGAAUUUAGACAUUUUCCGUCAGCUUAUUCCCUUCACGGCUCACUGGAGCUUAGAUUCAGACUGGUUUUGAGCUCUCAGUUAGACUUCGGAGAUGUUAGUUCUCGUUUGCUCGUCAUUCGUCUUCCGAUAUCGUGCCUUUGAAGGUUUUUGAUAUCGGGACGGUCUGUUUUUCGGUUGCUAUUUUGUUGUGGUUUCAUCGGUCUUCGCUACUAAUUUGAAGAUUAGAAUCUCAUUCGUCUCGAAUCGUUAAUCGCGAUCAAUUUUUGGUCUUCAAUCUUCGAUACCAAAUCUGGGGUUAUCGCAUUUUGGAUUGUUUCUCGAUUGAUUUGGAGAGUCGAGAUUUCGUUGGUAUUCUUCGAGGUUCUUGGACGGGCUCUUAUUUCUCUUAUUAAAUCAAUCGAAAGCUCCUGAGGUCCAAUUCUAACUUUUCUCUUUUUGAUUUUCUCGUGAUUACGAAUGAUUUGUAUGUUUGGGCAUAUUUGAAUCCUCGUUGUUUGUUUGUUUGACGUUGAAUUUAGAGUUGAAAACUUAAUUGAUAAAUUGUGUUUAGAAUUGGCUUAAUCAUUAAGUAGGAAUUUGGAGAGGGAAUCGGAAAUCUAUAAAGGGUGAAUUUUGGCUAAUUUGAUUCGUGGGUUGUUGUUUGACUUAGAAUGCAUUACUCGAACUUUAUGGUAGCAUGUUUUAGGUCGAGAUAGAAUAGACAAAUUUUAAGUUGGAUAGGCAAAAGUAGGAAUCGUGCAUAGUUGAAUGAUUUCAAAUGUUUGUGGAAUAGUUUAUUUUUCUCGCAUUUGAAAAAUGUAUUUAUUCGUCGGGGAAUGCCUCGAGGUCACAUUGUACUUAUUCAUCAGGGAAUGCCCCGACGUAUUAUGUACUCGGAGGAAGUGCGUGAUGAAGGCCCGAGACAUCGGGUAAAGCCUUGGAGCGUAGUUUAGGAUUAGUGUAGGUUUACUUUUCAGUUCUUUUUUUUUAUCUCAGGUUGUAAUAAUUGAACUGGACACUAUAAUUUUGAAUUUUUUUUGUUUGUUUGAUUGAUUUGUGUAUUUUUUUUGUGUGGUUUAUAUAUUCAUAAUGUGAAAAUUAGUCGAUACGCUCCACCAAGUGACCGUGGUCGAACUACGGGAUCGAGGGGUGUCUAACACCUUCCUCUCGGUCAACAGAAUUCCAUAGCCGGAAUCUCUGUUCGCGGAUCAGUGUUACAGAGUCAAAACCAUUUUUUUGAAAAAAGAUAUCCACGGGUGACUUGGCACACCCGAUUUAUGUCAAGUGGCGACUCUGAGUUUUGAAUGUAAAUAAUCCUUUUCGAAAUCAAUCUUCAUUUUGUCACUUUAAUAAUAAAAACCCUUUCGAACUAAAUUCUAACCUUUUCAAAAAAAAUUUAAAAAAAAGGGUGUGACAACUAACACCCUUGAGUCUAGAUCUAAGUUAAGCUUGAACAUUGUUGUUGGUAUUGUUGUUACGGUUUCAAGAACUUGAAUAUUGUUGAUGUUGUUGUGUGAACCAAAACUUGAAGGUGGUUUGAGCUCGUGUUGGUAUUUUGUUGUGGUUUUUAAGCUUGAAAAAGGUGGUGUUGAUUGUCGGAGGUUCAACGUGAGGCUAAGUUUUCAAACUUCUAUUGAAAGUUCUUGUUGUUCUAGACUAUCUUCAUGUCUAGUUGCAAAAAACCUGUUCAAUAGUGUUGUUUGAUCCAAAAGCCAAGUGGAAAGAAGUGAGGCCUUUGUUAGUCUUUAAAACAAAUCCCAAAAGCCUACCAAAAGGGAAAGGGGAACAAAAAGAUCUACAAAAGACUUAGUACUAAAAGAGGAAAAAAAACACUUUUCUAGGUGUCCAAAAUAGGAAAGGGCCAAAGGUGUCUUGUCCAAAAGGUAUAAGACAAGUCAAACCUUUUUGAAUAUGAAAAAGGGCUCCAAUCUUGAUAUUUUUCUUCCCCAAGGUCGGAAUACACUUCUUCAGGAAUUGAAAAUUGAACCAAAAUUUCAGAGUUGGAAAAAUAAAAACCUUUCAAAAACCGCAACCAAUCCUAGACCGCCACAUCACCUAUUUUUGUACAAUACCGAAACUUAGGGCUCAAAAUCUUGGAUUCUUAGUUUCUUAUUUUUGAUUCUUAGUUUCAUUUUUUUAUUCUUAUACUUAUUGGCAACUAGUAAAUAUCUACUAACUUGUAAAUUAAUUUUUGAAUAUGUUUCUUUCGUGUCUUCGUUAUUUGUGUGCUUUUCUCGUUUGUAACUGUAGUAACUUCUUUAUUUCAAGUUCAUAAGUGAACUUUGUUUUGUGUCUUGAGUCAAUUAAAACAAGAAUUCAUUCUGACCGCCAAGUAGGAUUGACAUCUUAUUGACUAUCGGAGUAUUAAGCAACUUUCAAUAUUUGCCGCUCCAAUUGUGAGAAUCACAAAGGUGGGUGUAUCGAGUGUUGGUAAGGAGCUUUUUGUUUUCUUUUGUUUGUUAUUGUCUUUUUUUUUUGGUUAGGUACCAUGGAUGCACAUAAUUUCAAGGCCACGUGUGAUCGCAUCCAUGACGAUCUUGAAGAUAUGAAACAACACAUUGAAAUGAUACGUCAAUUGUUAUCCAAACUCUUCCCUCAAAAUCCAAUUGUCCAAACAACUUGCGAUAAGAGCUUUCUGAAGGAAGUUGCUACCCAAUCUUGUGAUGGACUUUCACACCGAGGUAAAGUCGAACAUACUCAUGAACGUCAAGGUAAAAUAGCUAGCCCUUACAAUUUUGUGUAUGUGAAUGAUAAUUGUGUGGCUAGUAGUCUAUUGAGUGUGAGUUAUAGCUUGCCUAUAUGUGAGUCUAUUGUUUCUUUGUCACUUGAUGAUGAUGUACUUGUUGUGAGUGUGGAUACACUAGUUGAUCCUAUUGAUGACCGAAUUGACUCUUCUUAUAAGAUCGAUUUAUGUCCACCUAGUGUUGAAAUCAUUGUGUUGAAUGAAAGUACACCGUCUUGUGAAAUUUAUGGUGAAUCAACUUUUGUGUGAAAAUUGUCUACCACUUAAGGAUGUGUGUGAUGUGAUUAAUGAAUCGUGAUAAUGUUGAAAAUAUUGAUCAAAGGAAUAGGAGUGAACCCGAGAGCUAUUCUUGGGAUAAUCUUGCACUUGAAAUCUCUUUGAAACUUGAUAUUAAUCUUUUAGAGAGUGAUGAACGUGUUUGUUCCGAAUCUGUCCGUGAAAUAAAUCAUACUCUCUAAAAGUAUAAUGUCUUGUUUGAAGAUAAUAUAACCACUCCUAAUAAACCUAGUGGUGGAAAUGAUGGUAUACCUUGCCUUAGAAGCUAUAGUCGAUAUGUUAAUCCACUAUGGUGUGACAACAUUCCUCCUAGAAAGAUAAGAGUGCUCUUAAGGGUAAGGAAUGUGUGGUUUUAAAAACUACUUCUCCUUCUACUUUAUGUGACUUUAUUAUUGAGAGUACUCGUAAUGAUGAUUGUGAAAUUAAUAGUAAGUACACACAUGAGGGCGCCUUAGUAGAAAUCAACUUGAGUGAUACCUUUCUCUACUUUCUAGUUGCUCUAGAUAAUAUGUAUGCUAUUGUAGAGAGUAUGUCGUUUAUUUUGGGUGAAGACCACGAAAAAGGAGAGUGUUAUUUAAACCCGUAUCUAUAAUCACUCUUCCGUUUGACCCCGAUGUCAAAUAUAGAAUUGGUGAUGAUGAUGCACCCAACUUGUUGAUUAGUUUACAUAACAAGCAAAGUAUAUCUUUAGUAUAGAGCUUAGAAAAAUCAAUAUUAUUCUUUACUUAAAAAGAAUGAAUCUUGAAGUGAAUUGAUUACCUUAACAAUCACCUAAGAGUGUGAUUUUAAUUAUUACAUUCAUUAGGAGUUAAUAUUGAAAUAUACUUAAUUCUUAAUUUUGUAAUAAUAUUGAUCUCACUAUCUAUUCUUUCAUUAUUUUGUAAAUUCAUGUGUUUUUUGUGUUUGUCAUCUUGUUGUUCUUCUCACAUUUUGUGGAUUGUUUUGAUAUCUUGAUGGACUGAUUUAUAUCACCUUGGAAGCAAACUCAGGAUUUAAAGUCUCCGAGUGAUUGAAACGAUAAAUUUACUUAACACCUUAAAGACUCCGAAUUCUGAAUUCGGUUCUGGAUCCAAAGGUAUAGUAGCCAUGAUAUUUUUUUCAAAAGAACAGAAGUAAACGGAUCCAACUCCCCAUCAUUUCCUUUCUCUCCCUUUACUGUUUGAAUUAGUGACAUAGGAUCCGAAGUAAACAAGCUACAUCCAACAGUAUUUUCUACAUUACUAAAAAUAAACCUCACAAUACUUGUUAUUAAUUUUUAUUUGCUCUAAUUAGAUUAAACGUGACAACCCUCAAUAAAUCUCUUAUCAAUAUUUAACAAUUUAAAAAUAACACACACAACCUACAUGGAAUAAAUAAAAAAAGAAAAUUGGACAGAAUGCCGAAAGAUUCUUUUCUCAAUUUGGUGAGUUAUACUCACUAAUUUUCUUAUUUGAUUCUCCAUUUUACUUAUUUUUUUAGUAAUUAAGAUAAAACAAAUUUUUUUCAUAUUUUACUUUUGUAGGAUAUUAUUAAUUAUUUUUCUUAAUUAAGAUGAAGAAAAUAUUAGAUUUCUUUUGAGUAAUGUCUGCUCCAAAUUAUCAUUUUUUUUUAUAAGAUUCCUCUCAAAUUAUGUCCGAUCCUAAUUAUCCAGGAAACAAAAGUCAUUUCUGCCUGAAGAGGCAACACACAAACAGAAUACCAGAAGCAUUACACUGCAUUAAACACCAACCAAACAAUAUCAUGCCCAUACAAUUACCCCAAAUUACCUUUUCAUAAUACUUGCAAAAACUUGAAAAACAUAACAAAAAAGCAUAAAGAGCAAGACACGAGUACUUCUAGAUAGAUCCCUACCAUUUUAUUUGUACUAACAUAUAAUUCCACUAACCAUCAAACAUAUCCAGAAAACAGAGCAACAUGUUUAACAUUUCAAGCAACUUUAACCUCAUCCAGAAAACAGAGCAACAUGUUUAACAUUUCAAGCAACUUUAACCUCAUCCAGAAAACAGAGCAACAUGUUUAACAUUUCAAGCAACUUUAACCUCAUCCAGAAAACAGAGCAACAUGUUUAACAUUUCAAGCAACUUUAACCUCAAUUGUUUUGGGCUUCUUUGGUUCAGGAGGCGGCAACUUCUGAACAGUGACGGUUAACACCCCAUCCUGACAAACAGCAGAAAUUGCACCAGUAUUAGCAUUCUCUGGCAGAGUAAACUUCCUCAUGAAUUUCCCAACCCUUCUCUCCAUUCUGAUAUACUUUGCACCUUCUUUCUCUUCUUCCCUCUUCC